AACGUACGCUGGCGGCAUGCCUAACACAUGCAAGUCGAACGAGACCUUCGGGCCUAGUGGCGCACGGGUGCGUAACGCGUGGGAACCUGCCCUUAGGUUCGGAAUCACUCACCGAAAGGGAUGCUAAUACCGGUUAAUGUCUUAGGACCAAAGAUUUAUCGCCUUUGGAUGGGCCCGCGUUGGAUUAGCUAGUUGGUAGGGUAAAAGCCUACCAAGGCGACGAUCCAUAGCUGGUCUGAGAGGAUGAUCAGCCACACUGGGACUGAGACACGGCCCAGACUCCUACGGGAGGCAGCAGUGGGGAAUAUUGGACAAUGGGCGAAAGCCUGAUCCAGCAAUGCCGCGUGAGUGAUGAAGGCCUUAGGGUUGUAAAGCUCUUUUACCCGGGAUGAUAAUGACAGUACCGGGAGAAUAAGCUCCGGCUAACUCCGUG
This 433-nucleotide ribosomal RNA is filed under the name uncultured bacterium. Its description in RNAcentral is "partial 16S ribosomal RNA". It matches the Rfam family "Bacterial small subunit ribosomal RNA", at positions 29 to 507 of the family's 1533-position model. The record is from RNAcentral.